This 468-nucleotide ribosomal RNA is filed under the name uncultured bacterium. RNAcentral's name for it is "partial 16S ribosomal RNA". It matches the Rfam family "Bacterial small subunit ribosomal RNA", at positions 28 to 507 of the family's 1533-position model. The record is from RNAcentral.
GACGAACGCUGGCGGCGUGCUUAACACAUGCAAGUCGAACGGAAAGGCCCUGCUUUUGUGGGGUGCUCGAGUGGCGAACGGGUGAGUAACACGUGAGUAACCUGCCCUUGACUUUGGGAUAACUUCAGGAAACUGGGGCUAAUACCGGAUAGGAGCUCCUGCUGCAUGGUGGGGGUUGGAAAGUUUCGGCGGUUGGGGAUGGACUCGCGGCUUAUCAGCUUGUUGGUGGGGUAGUGGCUUACCAAGGCUUUGACGGGUAGCCGGCCUGAGAGGGUGACCGGCCACAUUGGGACUGAGAUACGGCCCAGACUCCUACGGGAGGCAGCAGUGGGGAAUAUUGCACAAUGGGCGGAAGCCUGAUGCAGCAAUGCCGCGUGCGGGAUGACGGCCUUCGGGUUGAAAACCGCUUUCGCCUGUGACGAAGCGUGAGUGACGGUAAUGGGUAAAGAAGCACCGGCUAACUACGUG